AGAGUUUGAUCNGGCUCAGAAGUUUGAUCCUGGCUCAGAUUGAACGCUGGCGGCAGGUUUAACACAUGCAAGUCGAGCGGUAACAUUUCUAGCUUGCUAGAAGAUGACGAGCGGCGGACGGGUGAGUAAUGCUUGGGAAUAUGCCUUUACGUGGGGGACAACAAGUUGGAAACGACUGCUAAUACCGCAUAAAUCUUCGGACCAAAGGAGGGGAUGCUUCGGCACCUUUCGCGUAAAGAUUAGCCCAAGUGGGAUUAGCUAGUUGGUGAGGUAAUGGCUCACCAAGGCGACGAUCCCUAGCUGGUUUGAGAGGAUGAUCAGCCACACUGGGACUGGGACACGGCCCAAACUCUUACGGGAGGGAGCAGUGGGGAAUAUUGCACACUGGGCGAAAGCCUGUUGCACCCAUGCCGCGUGUGUGAAAAAGGCCUUCGGGUUGUAAAGCAGAAGUAAAAUCCCCGGGCUCAACCUUUGAAUGGCAUUUGUAACUGGCAAGCUAGAGGGGGGUAUAUGGAGGACCAAUUUCACGUGUUACGGUGAAAUGCGUAGAGAUCUGAAGGAAUACCAGUGGCGAAGGCGGACACCUGGACAAAAACUGACGCUCAUGUACGAAGCGUGGGGAGCAAACAGGAUUAGAUACCCUGGUAGUCCACGCCGUAAACGAUGUCUACUAGUUGUCUGUGAGUUUAACUCGUGGGUAACGCAGCUAACGCAUUAAGUAGACCGCCUGGGGAGUACGGCCGCAAGGUUAAAACUCAAAUGAAUUGACGGGGGCCCGCACAAGCGGGUGAGCAUGUGGUUUAAUUCGAUGCAACGCGAAGAACCUUACCUGCCCUUGACAUACUGAGAAUUUACCAGAGAUGGUUUAGUGCCUUCGGGAACUCAGAUACAAGGGCUGCAAGGCUGUCGUCAGCUCGUGUCGUGAGAUGUUGGGUUAAGUCCCGCAACGAGCGCAGCCCCUAUCCUUAUUUGCAGCACGUAAUGGUGGGAACUCUAGGGAGCUGCCGGUGAUAAACCGGAGGAAGGUGGGGACGACUCAAGUCAUCAUGGCCUUACGGGCAGGGCUACACACGUGCUACAAUGGCAUGUACAGAGGGGAUGCGAACUCGCGAGAGCAAGCGGACCCCAAAAAGCAUGUCGUAGUCCGGAUCGGAGUCUGCAACUCGACUCCGUGAAGUCGGAAUCGCUAGUAAUCGUAGAUCAGAAUGCUAGGGUGAAUACGUUCCCGGGCCUUGUACACCCCGCCCGUCACACCAUGGGAGUGGGCUGCAAAAGAAGUGGGUAGUUUAACCUUCGGGAGGACGCUCACCACUAUGGGNUGGANCACCUCCUU
RNAcentral lists this ribosomal RNA (1333 nucleotides) under Pseudoalteromonas sp. B113. RNAcentral describes it as "partial 16S ribosomal RNA". It matches the Rfam family "Bacterial small subunit ribosomal RNA". Lineage: Bacteria; Pseudomonadati; Pseudomonadota; Gammaproteobacteria; Alteromonadales; Pseudoalteromonadaceae. The record is from RNAcentral.